This 1655-nucleotide long non-coding RNA is filed under the name Equus caballus (horse). Its description in RNAcentral is "lncRNA (ENSECAG00000050054.1)". The record is from RNAcentral. Lineage: Eukaryota; Metazoa; Chordata; Mammalia; Perissodactyla; Equidae.
AUUUCUGCGGUGCUGGCAGAGUUGAGAUGGGGGUGGGGUAAACUAUAAAGUUUAGAUGAGUAAUCAGUGACUUUCCAGAGAAGACAUACUGUCUUGAUUUGUUCAUUUAAAUUUAAGUGAGUCUGAAGUGAUCUCUAAGAUCCCUUUAGUUCUGUUACAGCCCCAAUCUGCCCCCAACCCCAGGAUGAUGGCAGAGAAAUGGAGCUGCCUGAGGCCCCCUUCGCAGAAGUACUGUUGAGGACUGAGAGGAAGGGAGCUGCUGGUUCUGCAAGGCAGCAAGCCAGCAAGUCCUCAAGGAUCUGGACUUCUCCACAUCCCCUCUCCUUUCCUUCCAAAAUGUGAGUAGACUGGCGGAGGGUCACCACCUGGGGUGUUGCCAGCCAGCCUGCCAGUUUGUGUUUUAGAGUUAGUGGGAGUUAACCGACAGUUGUCUGAAAGCAAAGACAGGACCUGAGGUGGGUCCUGGGGAGCAGUGUCAGUGCCAGAGCAUAGAGCAGGUGAGAAGUACUCAAAGACCAACUGCCUGUUUUAUAGGUUUUACUGAGCUCAUUUAGCCUCAGCUCCUUUGUUGGGCCUGCCUAGAAUACAAUCUACAGCCCAUUGUCUUUGCCCUUAACACACAUAGACUCUCUCAUCACACCAGCUCUUAGUUUGGCUUCUUCCAUGCACUAAUUUGGCUGACCCCAAUCCAUAGAUGCUGUAAUGUUCCUCUGUGUGUCUGGUGGGAACUACAUAUUCCUUCUCUCUGGCAUGUUCAAGCCUCAUGACUGGGCAGUAGUUCAAGUCUGGCUCUCUCAAACCAUAGAGAAAGAGAUCUUUUCCGUACCCAUGGCUCUAAGCAAACAGUGAGGGGUCCUCACCCACCCCAUAGUGCUGGCAGCAUGGUCACAUUCUCUUUCUACCUUCUCAGCCAGUGUGGCCACAGCCGUCGUUCUCUGUAGUGUCGUGACUCAGACUGGACUUUCAUCUAUACCCGACAGAGUUUGUGCACGUUUUCUGAAAUGGUUAAAUUAAGGGUUAUACAAGUCAUUACGCCAAGUCAUCAAAACAGCAAUUAACUCAAUAACCAUGACAUUAAGCCAGCUGUUACCCGGGGAAUGUAAAAUUGGAAACCAAUGCUACAGUGUGCUUGGCUCACCCAGGAGCUUCCGUGAAGCAAAACUAAGUAUAGUGAGUGUAAAUAUCGUAAAUAUUGCAGUUCAGAGGGGCAAUGGACUACUUCUCUUUUUAGGGGAGAAGAUCAUGGGGACAAAGAAAUAUUCCGAAGAAGGAAAGACAAAAGAGUAUCCAGCCAACAGUGGCCGUGUGACACAAUUUUGUCCAAUUACACGUAAACAAAAUUCUGCUGGCGGCUUUGGGGAAGAGUUUCGUUUUCUGAAUAAAGAUACAAUGAUACUAGAACCUCUUUCCCUUGCUUGUAGCCUUGAAUUCAGGUGUGAUUCCUGGAUUUUGGUGGCCAUCAUGCCACCAUGAAGUAGCAGACCUGAGCGAAAGACCAAGCAAGAGAACAGCAGACACAGCUCUGCUACCUUUGAGGUGGUGAAAUGACACUAACUAUUGACUGUAUCCAGACUUCUUUCGGGAGGAAAACAUGUUCUCAGUUGAGUCAGUGUUAGAUAGGUUUUCUGUUACUGUCACUUCAAAGCAUUCCUGGG